GCUGGGCGUGGUGGUGCACACCUGUAAUCCCAGCAACUCGGGCAGCUGAGGCAGGAGGAUGGCGAGUUCUCAAAGUCAGCCUCAGCUGAUUAGUGAGGUACUUAGCAACUCAGUGAGACCCUGUCUCUA
This 129-nucleotide small RNA is filed under the name Marmota monax (woodchuck). Lineage: Eukaryota; Metazoa; Chordata; Mammalia; Rodentia; Sciuridae. The record is from RNAcentral.